AUAUCAUUUAUAAAGAGUCGAGCCUGCCCAGUGAUUAUUAUUUAACGGCCGCGGUACUCUGACCGUGCAAAGGUAGCAUAAUCACUUGCCUUAUAAUUGAAGGCUAGUAUGAAUGGUUUGACAAGAAUAGUACUGUCUCUACAUAAAUUUCAUAAAAUUUGGUUUUUAGGUGAAGAAACCUAAAUAAAAUUGAAAGACAAGAAGACCCUAUCGAGCUUAAAAUAAUUCUCUCGAAUAUAUGCAAAACUAAUUGCGCGAGAUAAUUUUGGUUGGGGCGACUAAGGAACAUACAAAGCUUCCUAUAAAAUAUAUUAACCUAUAUGUUUUGAUCCAAAAGUUUUGAUUAACAAAAUUAGUUACCGUAGGGAUAACAGCAUAAUCUUUUUAAAGAGUUCUUAUCGAAAAAAAGGUUUGUGACCUCGAUGUUGGACUAGGAUACCCAGAAAGGUGCAGAAGCCUUCAACGGUUGGUCUGUUCGACCA
RNAcentral lists this ribosomal RNA (482 nucleotides) under Pauluccinella minima. RNAcentral's name for it is "partial 16S large subunit ribosomal RNA". It matches the Rfam family "Bacterial large subunit ribosomal RNA", at positions 1836 to 2587 of the family's 2925-position model. Lineage: Eukaryota; Metazoa; Mollusca; Gastropoda; Littorinimorpha; Hydrobiidae. The record is from RNAcentral.